AGCCAUCCACUUGAAGCUUCACAAUCAUGUCAAACAAGGGUGUUUUACUAGUUGCUUCCCAUUGCAACUUAAAGUUCCAUCUUUCAAUAAUAUAACAUCACAUAUCAGCAUAUAGUGAUGUUAUAUUAUUCCUACUGUUUUUACGCAAAGCAUUAACAAGUCAAAGGUAUAAAUAGUUGGAUUAUACAAUCAACCCUUCAAAGAGUACUUUUUUCC
This 216-nucleotide unclassified non-coding RNA is filed under the name Hevea brasiliensis (rubber tree). The record is from RNAcentral. Lineage: Eukaryota; Viridiplantae; Streptophyta; Magnoliopsida; Malpighiales; Euphorbiaceae.